GAGAAGAGGACAACUGGCUACAAAUAUCAACAGGCUUUAACAGUCUUCUUUCCUUCAAGUCCAGUUCUUUGAAAGUCCAAAUUUGCUCUGAACUGACUUCAAGCAAGUGCCCACUCUUGAACAAAUUACUGAGGCUGGAGGAUAAAGACACAAAUUGGCCAAACUUGGAUUACCUGCCUUCUGCAUCUUAAAGCUGAAAUGUGGAUGUGAUAGAAGAAGAUGAACUAUUUCUGAAUUCAAGAUGGACUCUGAAUUGAGAAGAUAGAUGCCUUGGACCUUAACACUAUUGAGCUAUCAACUAAACUGCAGACCACUUACCUUCAUAUUUAUGAAGUCUUGCUCUGUCGCCCAGGCUGGAGUGCAGUGGCACAAACUCGGCUCACUGCAAGCUCCAUCUCCUGGGUUCACGCCACUCUAGCCAGGAUGAUCUCCUGACCUCGUGAUCCGCCCGCCUCGGCCUUUCAAAGUGCUGGGAUUACAGGGCAAGAUCAUGAGUGAAGACUAUCAGGAUCCUUCUAGUCCAUCAUCUAAGCCUGGUAAUUCCUCCUGGUCAGCAUAUCCUGUUAAUAUUAUAUGGCAUUUAGGCUGUAGCCUGCUUUCCUCUCAAAGCAGCACUCCCAGUGGCUCACACAGUUUGCUUGGUCAUCAGCCAACCUACUGGGGAAGCUGCCUGCUGGUUUGAAAGAGCACCCAACGAUCUGGAAGACUGUCUACUGCAACUGUACAUGGUUGCACCAGAUCCACGGAGCCCUUGAAUUGCCCCUUGGCAACCUUAAAAGGACCUAGAAGUAUGAAAAAAUCAUCAAUGUCACUUGGGAUGGACUUUGAACAAGAUGAGCCAUAUUUCUUCUGAGACUCUGCAGGGAACUGCCUGGAGCAUUUCUGAGCAUACCCGAAUGUAUAUAGGAUACAUUUUGAGAAACACGAUCACCAUAGCUUAUGUGCUCAAGAUGAGACUUUAUUUCCCCGCAUUAAUGCAAUGGCCUUAUUCUCCGUUCCCACAAUGGACUCAAGCAGUCAAUGAUUGGUUAAAUUGUUCAUUCUGCCUCUUGCCUGGGAGGCUUUUGCUGUGAGCAUGCAUCAAGCACAAAAUCUGACUGCCAUGGAACAUUAAACAGGCUGUGAAACCUCAGUUGUAACAUCAAUAAAAUGGGAAGAACAAAAAAGUUGCUGUGAAGAUAAAAUGAGGCAGGUCCUGUCAACUGAUUGUGGAAGGAAAAUGAGAAUUUCAGAUGCCUGCUGAGAUCUGUGGAUGGAGUACUUUGUCCACAGGGCACUGAGCUCUGGCCAAACCAAAGACUUGUACUGCAUAGAUGUUCUUCAAUCUCUAUAGCUGGGAACUCUCUUCUUUUUGUAGUGCUUGCCCAUUGUAGAUGUUUAAUAAGUUUGCAUUACGUACAGGAGAAACUAUGAAAGUCCCUUAUAAAUAUAACAACCAUAAUGAUAAAAGGAAA
This 1454-nucleotide long non-coding RNA is filed under the name Homo sapiens (human). RNAcentral's name for it is "long intergenic non-protein coding RNA 1707". The record is from RNAcentral. Lineage: Eukaryota; Metazoa; Chordata; Mammalia; Primates; Hominidae.